RNAcentral lists this transfer RNA (75 nucleotides) under Bacillota bacterium. RNAcentral's name for it is "tRNA-Lys". It matches the Rfam family "tRNA". Rfam says of the family: Transfer RNA (tRNA) molecules are approximately 80 nucleotides in length. RNAcentral also lists the same sequence under 11 other names. The record is from RNAcentral. Lineage: Bacteria; Bacillati; Bacillota.
GCACCGCUAGCUCAAUGGUAGAGCAGUUGACUCUUAAUCAAUUGGUUGAAGGUUCGAGUCCUUCGCGGUGCACCA